This 435-nucleotide ribosomal RNA is filed under the name uncultured bacterium. RNAcentral describes it as "partial 16S ribosomal RNA". It matches the Rfam family "Bacterial small subunit ribosomal RNA", at positions 29 to 507 of the family's 1533-position model. The record is from RNAcentral.
AGCGAACGCUGGCGGCAGGCUUAACACAUGCAAGUCGAGCGGGCACUUUCGGGUGUCAGCGGCGGACGGGUGCGUAACGCGUGGGAACGUGCCCUCUGGUUCGGAAUAACUCAGGGAAACUUGAGCUAAUACCGGAUACGCCCUUUUGGGGAAAGGCUUGCUGCCGGAGGAUCGGCCCGCGUCUGAUUAGCUAGUUGGUGAGGUAACGGCUCACCAAGGCGACGAUCAGUAGCUGGUCUGAGAGGAUGAUCAGCCACACUGGGACUGAGACACGGCCCAGACUCCUACGGGAGGCAGCAGUGGGGAAUAUUGGACAAUGGGCGCAAGCCUGAUCCGGCCAUGCCGCGUGAGUGAUGAAGGCCUUAGGGUUGUAAAGCUCUUUUAUCCGGGACGAUAAUGACGGUACCGGAGGAAUAAGCCCCGGCUAACUUCGUG